AACGCACAUUGCGCCCAUUAGUAUUCUAGUGGGCAUGCCUGUUCGAGCGUCAUUUCAACCCUUAAGCUUCUGUUGCUUAGUGUUGGGAGCCUACAGCUUCUUUUAGGUUGUAGUUCCUUAAAGUUAGUGGCAGAGUUGGUUCACACUCUAGGUGUAGUAAAUAUUUUAUCUCGCCUAUAGAUGAGCCGGUCCCUUGCCGUAAAAAAAACCCUUAAUUAUAAAGAGUUGACCUCGGAUCAGGUAGGAAUACCCGCUGAACUUAA
This 263-nucleotide unclassified non-coding RNA is filed under the name uncultured fungus. RNAcentral describes it as "partial contains 5.8S ribosomal RNA, internal transcribed spacer 2, and large subunit ribosomal RNA". The record is from RNAcentral. Lineage: Eukaryota; Fungi.